GACGAACGCUGGCGGCGUGCUUAACACAUGCAAGUCGAACGGUGAAGCGCCUUCCUUUUUGGUGGGUGAGGAUGAGUGGCGAACGGGUGAGUAACACGUGAGUAACCUGCCCCCUUCUUCUGGCUAACCGCAUGAAAGUGUGGCUAAUACGGGAUAUUCUGGGUCUGUCGCAUGAUGGGUCUGGGAAAGAUAUUGUUUCGGUGGGGGAUGUGCUCGCGGCCUAGCAGCUUGGUGGUGGGGUGAUGGCCUACCAAGGCGGUGACGGGUAGCCGGCAUGAGAGGGUGGGCGGUAACGCGGGGACGGAGAGACGGAGAAGACUCCGGCGGGAGGCAGCAGUGGGGAAUAUGGCACAGUGGGAGGAAGGAUGAAGCAGCGACGCCGCGUGAGAGAUGGAGGCCGGCUGGUUGUGAACCUCUGUCGGGAGAGAAGGAGGCCUGCGUAGUUUGUGGGUGGGUUGACGGUAGCUGGAUAAGAAGCGCCGGCUAACUACGUG
This 494-nucleotide ribosomal RNA is filed under the name uncultured bacterium. RNAcentral describes it as "partial 16S ribosomal RNA". It matches the Rfam family "Bacterial small subunit ribosomal RNA", at positions 28 to 507 of the family's 1533-position model. The record is from RNAcentral.